CACACACACAGAUAAGAGAGGGAGGGAGUGAGGGAGGGAGACAGAGGGAGAGAGUCAGGCACAAGUCUACAAGGUCCGCAGGAGGAGGGACUAACGGAAGACUGGUUGCAUGACUGUGAGUAGAUUUGGAGGUGAUGCCCCCAGUAGUGCUCUAGUAGGUGGUAGCAGCAGAGCAGCCCGGAGGAGAGCAGCAGAGGAACAGAGGGAGUGAGAGAGCAGACCAGCUGGCAGAAGUGGCCUGCUCGGCGUCAGCCUAUCACCUACCUCUCCUGCCGCACACCCGAUGAGCACUGGCCACCGGGAGAGAGAGGGUCGAGGGAGGCAGACGCAGAGAAAAAAAAAAAAGAGUGAGCGAGCCCUGGACACUAAAGCCCACCCUGCUCGUCUAUUCUGCCCACUCUCUGCUCAGAUCACCUGUUACACCAGCUGUACCCGUUUUUAAUCCACAAGAAAGUGGAGCUUGGCACAGGAGCCGGAAUUCCUCUGCAGGGUGACUGAAAU
This is a long non-coding RNA of Thalassophryne amazonica, 501 nucleotides long. RefSeq lists it as uncharacterized. Lineage: Eukaryota; Metazoa; Chordata; Actinopteri; Batrachoidiformes; Batrachoididae. The transcript has 3 exons. The record is from RefSeq and is a predicted model, not a curated record.